This 508-nucleotide ribosomal RNA is filed under the name uncultured glomeraceous AM fungus. Its description in RNAcentral is "SSU rRNA". It matches the Rfam family "Eukaryotic small subunit ribosomal RNA", at positions 569 to 1078 of the family's 1831-position model. Lineage: Eukaryota; Fungi; Glomeromycota; Glomeromycetes; Glomerales; Glomeraceae. The record is from RNAcentral.
AGCAGCCGCGGUAAUUCCAGCUCCAAUAGCGUAUAUUAAAGUUGUUGCAGUUAAAAAGCUCGUAGUUGAAUUUCGGGGUUAGUAGGUUGGUCAUGCCUCUGGUAUGUACUGGUCUCACUGAUUCCUCCUUCCAGAUGAACCUUAAUGCCAUUAAUUUGGUGUUUUGGGGAAUUUAGACUGUUACUUUGAAAAAAUUAGAGUGUUUAAAGCAAGCUAACGCUUGAAUACAUUAGCAUGGAAUAAUGAAAUAGGACGUUCGAUCCUAUUUUGUUGGUUUCUAGGAUUGACGUAAUGAUUAAUAGGGAUAGUUGGGGGCAUUAGUGUUCAAUUGUCAGAGGUGAAAUUCUUGGAUUUAUUGAAGACUAACUACUGCGAAAGCAUUUGCCAAGGAUGUUUUCAUUAAUCAAGAACGAAAGUUAGGGGAUCGAAGACGAUCAGAUACCGUCGUAGUCUUAACCAUAAACUAUGCCGACUAGGGAUCGGAUGAUGUUAAUUUUUUAAUGACUCA